CCUACGGGAGGCAGCAGUGAGGAAUAUUGGUCAAUGGGCGGGAGCCUGAACCAGCCAAGUCGCGUGAGGGAUGAAGGUACUGCGUAUCGUAAACCUCUUUUGUCAGGGAACAAAGGGGGGGACUAGUCCCCGGUUGAGGGUACCUGAAGAAAAAGCAUCGGCUAACUCCGUGCCAGCAGCCGCGUUAAUACGGAGGAUGCGAGCGUUAUCCGGAUUUAUUGGGUUUAAAGGGUGCGCAGGCGGCUUGUUAAGUCAGCUGUAAAAGCUCGGGGCUCAACCCCGGCGAGCCGUUGACACUGGCGGGCUGGAGUGGGAUAGAAGUACGCGGAAUGCGCGGUGUAGCGGUGAAAGGCUUAGAUAUCGCGCAGAACCCCGAUUGCGAAGGCAGCGUACC
This 394-nucleotide ribosomal RNA is filed under the name uncultured bacterium. Its description in RNAcentral is "partial 16S ribosomal RNA". It matches the Rfam family "Bacterial small subunit ribosomal RNA", at positions 338 to 730 of the family's 1533-position model. The record is from RNAcentral.